UACAGAGACUGCAAGCGUUAUUCGGAUUCACUGGGUUUAAAGGGUGCGUAGGCGGCCCUAUAAGUCAGUGCUGAAAUAUCCCGGCUUAACCGGGAGGGUGGCAUUGAUACUGUAGGGCUUGAGUGUAGUCGAGGUAGGCGGAAUUGACGGUGUAGCGGUGAAAUGCUUAGAUAUCUGGAGGAAUACCGGUGGCGAAGGCGGCAUCCUGGACCGACAUUGACGCUGAUGAGCGAAAGCUAGGGGAGCAAACGGGG
Molecule: ribosomal RNA, 254 nt
Filed under: uncultured bacterium
Lineage: Bacteria
Description: partial 16S ribosomal RNA
Rfam family: Bacterial small subunit ribosomal RNA
Source: RNAcentral